AGGCCAGACUCCUACGGGAGGCAGCAGUGGGGAAUAUUGCACAAUGGGGGAAACCCUGAUGCAGCGACGCCGCGUGAGUGAAGAAGUAAUUCGUUAUGUAAAGCUCUAUCAGCAGGGAAGAAGAUGACGGUACCUGACUAAGAAGCCCCGGCUAAAUACGUGCCAGCAGCCGCGGUAAUACGUAUGGGGCAAGCGUUAUCCGGAUUUACUGGGUGUAAAGGGGGCGCAGACGGCGAUGCAAGCCAGGAGUGAAAGCCCGGGGCCCAACCCCGGGACUGCUCUUGGAACUGCGUGGCUGGAGUGCAGGAGGGGCAGGCGGAAUUCCUGGUGUAGCGGUGAAAUGCGUAGAUAUCAGGAGGAACACCGGUGGCGAAGGCGGCCUGCUGGACUGCAACUGACGUUGAGGCCCGAAAGCGUGGGGAGCAAACAGGAUUAGAUACCCCCGUA
This 447-nucleotide ribosomal RNA is filed under the name uncultured bacterium. RNAcentral's name for it is "bacterial SSU rRNA". It matches the Rfam family "Bacterial small subunit ribosomal RNA", at positions 328 to 792 of the family's 1533-position model. The record is from RNAcentral.